CUAAGAGUGUAAGCCUCUCUUUUGAUAUGCUACUUCAGUUUUGCUAUUUUUCAUGCUGUGAAAUUGUUGUUUGUUCCUCAAAUUGCUUCUUUAUGUGUUCAUUUUAGUGUAUUCUCUGCUAAUUUGUCUUAGUUUAUGAACACACCCGCAUGAAUUCUUGAGUACCCAUAUCGCAAAAAAGGGGGAAAAUAUAUAUUUUUGUCCUCUAAUUGCAGCCCCGGCUUGUUUUCUGAUUGGGAGUAGAUUAUUGUAUAUAUUGAUGAAUAAUGCUCCCAAGUAUGCCCACUGUUUGACAUCAUUUUACUGUAGAAGUACCAGAGUUGAUGAAUUACCCCUUGUUACCCCUUGGCCUAACUUCAGUGAGAUAGUAGUAUAUAAGACAAAUUGCCCCUCUUCUGUUUUGUUUGAGGAAUCUUAACAGUUGCAUCUUUGUCCAUGCUAGAAAUUGAUCUGCCUCAUAACAACAGAAACCCUUAGGGGCACAAAGGAGCAGACUUCCAGCCAGCAUAAUAUGUGUUUAUGUACAUAAUUAUAUCAGAUGCUGGCCAGCCCUUGAGAGAAGAACUUGCUAAGUCACCAGAGAAGAUACUUGCAUGCGCCUUCCCUGAAUUUGUACCAAAAUCAGAUACUUCAAUGGCUCAAGGAUCCUUAACUCCACCAGCAGCUUUAGUGGGUGAGGAAGGCUGCCUUGUUUCUCCUCUACCCGAGAGCUCUAAUUCAACCUUGGCGACCCCUGGUGCAACAUCAGAUGCAUAUUUUUAGGGACUUGCUCUUGUUAAAACUUUAGUGUCUUAUUGUCUUUGAUACAUUAGUACUCCUGUGGAAGUCACCUGCAAGAUUGGCCCGUUGUUUUGAUCAAACAUUUUGUAGGGGCUACUGUAUAGGUUUGAUGCAGUUGAUGGUUUUAAUCUAUGUGCAUUGGCUUUGCUUAUGUAAGUGUCAGACUUCAACAUGGACGUGGGGUGUUGAUGAAGCAGUUUUCUAAAAUGCAGACAUGCAGUUGUUGUUAUCCAUGUUUGUUUCUUUGACUUGCCAUACAAAACAAUGUGUUUGUCUAUGUGCCUGUGUUGGAUUCACACAGAAAUAUAACUGAGAAUGGAAAUAGGUUUGUAAUAGGUGAAAUUUUCACUUGAAA
Non-coding RNA from Camellia sinensis, 1135 nucleotides. NCBI's taxonomy places the organism in Eukaryota, Viridiplantae, Streptophyta, Magnoliopsida, Ericales, Theaceae. The record is from RefSeq and is a predicted model, not a curated record.